This is a small nuclear RNA of Suncus etruscus (white-toothed pygmy shrew), 108 nucleotides long. The record is from RefSeq and is a predicted model, not a curated record. Lineage: Eukaryota; Metazoa; Chordata; Mammalia; Eulipotyphla; Soricidae.
GUGCUUGCUUCGGCAGCACAUAUACUAAAAUUGGAACGAUGCAGAGAAGAUUAGCAUGGCCCCUGCGCAAGGAUGAUUUACAUUUAAUAUGAUUCUCAAAAUGGUUUA